AAAGCACAUAAACGUCGUGCUGCGUGACCCUGAAAAAGCAAACACACAUGAGAGAAAAAAAGCAAACCGUAAACAACAAACAAAGAGAGCUAGGACGUAUUUUUCUGGAAAAACUACCACUGCUGUAGCGAUGAAACUGCUUUCCCUGCUUAUAGUGCUCUCCUCAGAUGCUGUUCAAGAACGGCCCAAUUCGACCGACCGCUCCUCUUCUCACUGGUCCCACGACGAGUUCUCGGAGAAGCUGAAGAUUCAUCCACUAGAGGGCAGCCUUCUACAGAUUAACACGUUGCAAAGUCGGCUUCCUAAGAGAAACUAGGACUCGAGAGCAAGCUGUAGAAUGGUCUGACUGGUUUUCUUCUUCUUUUUUUUUUUUUUUCUUCUUGAAG
Molecule: long non-coding RNA, 386 nt
Organism: Ictalurus punctatus (channel catfish)
Lineage: Eukaryota; Metazoa; Chordata; Actinopteri; Siluriformes; Ictaluridae
Exons: 3
Source: RefSeq, a predicted model, not a curated record